This 253-nucleotide ribosomal RNA is filed under the name uncultured bacterium. RNAcentral's name for it is "partial 16S ribosomal RNA". It matches the Rfam family "Bacterial small subunit ribosomal RNA", at positions 524 to 776 of the family's 1533-position model. The record is from RNAcentral.
UACGGGGGGGGCAAGCGUUGUUCGGAAUUACUGGGCGUAAAGGGCUCGUAGGCGGCCAACUAAGUCAGACGUGAAAUCCCUCGGCUUAACCGGGGAACUGCAUCUGAUACUGGAUGGCUUGAGUUCGGGAGAGGGAUGCGGAAUUCCAGGUGUAGCGGUGAAAUGCGUAGAUAUCUGGAGGAACACCGGUGGCGAAGGCGGCAUACUGGACCGACACUGACGCUGAGGAGCGAAGGCCAGGGGAGCAAACGGG